Molecule: unclassified non-coding RNA, 373 nt
Filed under: soil metagenome
Description: partial contains 5.8S ribosomal RNA, internal transcribed spacer 2, and large subunit ribosomal RNA
Rfam family: 5.8S ribosomal RNA (bases 1-121)
Source: RNAcentral
GAUGAAGAACGUAGCGAAAUGCGAUAAGUAAUGCGAAUUGCAGAAUUCCAGUGAGUCAUCGAAUCUUUGAACGCACAUUGCGCCCUUUGGUAUUCCGAAGGGCAUGCCUGUUCGAGCGUCAUUAUCACCCCUCAAGCCCUCGGCUUGGUGUUGGACGGUUUGGUGGAGACCCCUUCGCGGGCUUCUACCCCUCCCAAAGACAAUGACGGCGGCCUCGUUGGACCCCCGGUACACUGAGUUCUUCACGGGACACGUAUCGGACACACGGGUUUGCGGGACACGGUCUGCCUCCACUCAGGGAGAAUCUUCUCAAGGUUGACCUCGGAUCAGGUAGGGAUACCCGCUGAACUUAAGCAUAUCAAUAAGCGGAGGA